Molecule: unclassified non-coding RNA, 651 nt
Filed under: Hevea brasiliensis (rubber tree)
Lineage: Eukaryota; Viridiplantae; Streptophyta; Magnoliopsida; Malpighiales; Euphorbiaceae
Source: RNAcentral
UGACAAUUCAAAAUGUGCAUGCAGGUGCAGAUAUUUCCAAACCAAGCUUGAAGGAUGAAGUCUGUGUCCUUACAACCCUUUCUCCAUGCAGGUCAACAAUCAACACUGAGAUUCUCUUAAUCGCUGGAAAAAACUUCACACCUUCAAGGAUCUUGUCCAGAAAAAUCCCUUCUUUUUGGUUGUGUGGUUCUCUGCUAAGGAUUUACCACCCUUUGAUCCAAACGAAAAAUGCCUCUUCAAGAAAGGCUUUGCUAAGGAGCCCUUCAUGCUGGAACUGGAGGCCAUCUUGGGACCCUUUCCUUCAUGCCCACCACCUUUUACACGAUCAAACAUGAUAGAAUCACCAUCAAAAUCACUAUCCACAACACGGUUCCGUGACCUCUUGUUUUUUGCUUUUGACUCCAUUUCUGCUUUAAAGGCUUUUUGAGACAGCUUCUGGGUCUGUUUCUCCCCCAAAGUACAAACAGGACAAGUAGGAUCAUAUUUGCUAAUUUCAGGUGUCAUAGUCUCCAAACACUCAGCAUGGUAAACAUGCCCACAAGUUAGAACAGCAACAACAGAGAGCUCAUUACUCAAAACAAGCUUCGGGCUGCUCCACAAAGAUUUCUCGGUCAAUAACUUCGAGCAAAUCCCACAUGUUUGAAGAUCAAC